Molecule: non-coding RNA, 15088 nt
Organism: Equus caballus (horse)
Lineage: Eukaryota; Metazoa; Chordata; Mammalia; Perissodactyla; Equidae
Source: RefSeq, a predicted model, not a curated record
GGAGGGAGAAGGGUGAAAGGGGUGUUUAGGCACGGCACACGUGUGUGGUAAUGGAUGGUAAUUAGUCUUUGGGUGGUGAAUAUGUUGUAAUCUGCACAGAAAUUGAAAUUUAUAAUGAUGUACAUUUGAAAUUUAUAUAACGUUAUAAACUACUGUUACUGCAAUAAAGAAAGAAUUUUUAAAAAAAAGUGUUAAGUGCCCUAAAAGUAAUAGAUAGUGUGACAUAUGGGAUCAGAGGAGAGAAGGGAUCUGUAGUAACAGGAAGGCUGGGGCUGAGAUGGAUCAAAGGUCCUUUUUGAGAUGGGUCUUAAAGGAUAGGUAGAAAUGGAGAGUGGGGGUGAAGUGAGGAAGGCUCAGCUUUUUCUCCAUUUUUGGGCAGAUGAAUCACCUGCUGUAAAAGAAAAAGGAAAUGUGAAACAGAGGCAUGUAGAAGGGAGGAGUCAGUGUGGCUGGAAUGUAGGAAAAUAAAGGAAGGAAAGUUGGGAAACAAGGGCAGGUCCAGGUUGUGAAGGGCCUGGGAACACCAGAGUAGGAAUGUUCUAGAACAAUGUCUCAAGGUGUGUCCACAGGAUGUUCAUAGUUUUUACGUAACAAGGGAUCUCAUCAACUAUGCUGGAGAAACAUUGAAUUAAAAACAAAGAUUUCUAUAUCACAGUUUUCAGAGCUUUGAAAAUGCUAAUGUACACUGAAUUUCCACGAGGGACCUGUAGUUUGCAAAAACCCCAAACUUCAUGAUCAUAAACAUGUUUUUCUUGGAGCUUCUCAUGAGAUUGGCAUUCUGCAGGAGCUUUAUGAAAGCCAUAGAGAGGGGCAAUACCCACAGGGGACACACUUAACAUUACCUGCUAAUAGACCGACCGGCUGAUCUUCUAGGAACCUGCACUAUUGUUGCAGGAAUAGGGAGAAAAUUAUUUGCCCCAAAGAAGGCAUGAACCCCCUUCCCUCUCUGUUUCCCCCUCCGCUUUAUUAUUAUAAGGAUCUGCCGAGCUUUUUCAGCCAGGCCCAGUUGCACUGCUCUCUUUCCUGGAGCUCAGUUCCCGCCCUGAUAAAAAUUUGCCUUGUUUCAGGGCUCAAAUGGAGUCCUGUUUUGAAUCUCCCAUCUGUCAUCCCGGAUCCCAGACGUGCUGCCUGCCUUGCCCUCGGCUGCCUGAUGCCCCUUGACCCCUCUCCAGACCUCCUGGACUCUUUCUUUGCCACUGCUCUGACCUCCACAUACUUUGAGUGCUUCUGGUCCUCCUGGUAAAUCUCGAGAUGUCCUGUCUCCAGCUGCUCACAGCUCUGGGGUGACUGUGACUGUGGCUCUGGCUCCUGCCAGUUGCUCAGAGAUGAGGCACCUGUGUGCUGCGUUUUGGGGAGCUGGGCUUCUACAUGCUUCUGCCACAAGUGGGAACACUUGUAGUGGCUUCCAGGUGAGAUUCCAUAAUUCUGCUUGGGAGGGAUGAGCAAGCAGCCUCUAAAUUUAACAUCAUUUAAUUAUCCCCUGUGGAGGGGAAAAUCUUAGCAGUGACAUGUUUAGAGCUGCACUUCCAAGAAGCUUCAGUUGAUUGGGCAAAAUUAGGUGGGAUCACAGAACAAUCUAGAAGAGGGAGUGAAAUCUCUUAAGUUUUUAGAGAUCACUGGCCUCUGUUGGGUGUUCAACAGGAAGCGAACUGUGGUGAGAUUAAAUGAGGCUAGGUGAGUGGGCAAAGCCUUGGCAGAUAAACUUUGUGGGAAUAAGAGGAUGACAGGGAGGAAAAGUACAAACUACGGAAGAUGAGAUGCCGCCAUUAUGAAUCAGCUCUUGUGACCCAGAAAAAGGACUUGGGAUUCAUUGCAAGAGUGUGCAGCAAAGACAGGCCCCCAAAGACCUACCAAUUUUUAGAAAUCGUUAGGAAGAAUAAGGAACAAAAAUACAAAGAAAAUAUUACCUUACUGUUUAUAAGGAAUGUGCUGUUCUGGUUGAUGUAUUACCAGAAAGAAAUUUCAAGUGAUCAAGGGACUGGAGGUGCUUCUGUACGAGGCCAGAGCGGAGGCUGGAAGCUGACGGGAUAUGCUACAGUCUAGAAAAUUAGGAAAGGUACAAAUAAUGUGAACAUUGACCCGACUGAAACCCACUUAUUAGAAGUAGGAGGUAUCCUGAGAUAGUCUCAAAAUUUCAAGCAAGUGAAAAAUGGUUGCUAAAUGUAUGGAACUCAUUACCCUCCAAGAGGUAGCCUAGGCUGAAAAUAGAAAUAGCUUCAAAACUGCUUACAUAAUGCGUGGUCGCUGGAACUAUUAUAGGUUACUGAGGGAAAUCUGAUUGUUGCAGAUAAUAGGGAGGCCGACUGCAUCUUCCUAACACACAGCCUUAUAGCCUCAGUGGAAAAGAUCAUGGCUUAGACUACACGUGCCAAUCUUACUUAAAAAAAAAAAGGGAAGAUUGCCUAUACGAAUGUGUAUAUUGUCAUAUUAUUAGGUGCCUACCUAAUAUUAGGCACCUGGCUAGGUACUUUUACAUACAUUAUCCUUAAUUCUUACAAUAAUACCACAAGAAUAAUAAUUAUCCCCAUUUCAUGGAUGAGAAGCUGCUCAGAUAGUUUAAGUAACUAUUCAAGGUCACACAGCCAGUAAACGGAGGAGCUGGGACCUAAAGCCCAGGUGUAUUCUUAAUGGCAAUACUGCUCUCAUCUCACCUGUUUGUUUUUCUGUCCUUCAUACCUAAAUUUAGUCUAAGACUACCAGCCAAAAUUCCAAAAAUGGUGCUUUUGUCCUUUGCUCAUUGCUUAAAAAAAUGGCCUCCGUCAUCGUAGGACCAUUGAGUGCAUUUAUUCAUAUUCCUCUAAAGUUCAAAGUACGCAGCCGGAGAGAGGGGACAAUUAGGGUCCUGGGGCUGAGACAAGAAGAGGACUGGGAGGCCUAAGAGGGGUCAGGCAUUUUACAUGCUGUCCCAUGGAAUUCUCAUGACACCCAUUUUAAUUUCCAUUUUUGAGCUGAGAAGAUGGCAUCUCAGAGCAAUUAUGUAAAGUGCCUAAGAGUCCACAGCGCACGGGCAGUAGACCCAGCAGUGACACCAAAUCUAACGCCAAAGCUGCCUGCCUGGAAGGGGGAGAGACAUUCCGUCUCUGUCCUCUUUCCUUAUAGGAAGACAACCUCAGGGGUUACCUCCACGGCCACCAACUCCAGAGGGCUGUCUGCUCUACACCUCUGCUCAGUCCACUUCUGGCAGGAGCGGAGGACUUCCAUGCCAUACAGAAAGUCUCGCUGGAAUUGUGUCUGUUGAAGAACCCCACAUCCUAGCACAGAUUUGGAAGGCUGGAUUCCUUGCUGGCAGCAGUAGGCUCAUCAGAACAGGAGGUCCAGGAAAUGCUGUGGGAUAGAUUAGGUAAGAAGUGCUGCCAACUGAAGACCAGUCAGAAAUGAAGAUGAAGCAUCUCUGAAAUGGUCAUGCAGCUGCCUCUCAAAAUCCAGGUGAGAGAAUGCCACACACCACACAGGUAUUGAUGGGCUCACACAUCUCCAUCAGCCCUGUCCUUGGAGAGAGGCUGAGCACUAAGGACAAGUUUGGCCUGGUGACUGAAGAUACUCUGUGGUUGGCCUUACGGGUCAGUUUAUCCUUCUGGAAAGCUGUCCCUAGAGGUUUGGGUGUGACAGCUCCUGCCUUCAUUCCCUCAGCCUUGAUUACAGUGGUGGUAGGGAUCAAAUGCCCAGGAUUUUCCAGUCUGCCUGUUGCCAAUAUGAGUGCUUGCCUAUUACCCAAGGGUCCUCAUGAGACACCUCUGGCCGGCAGCCCAAGUGCCGUGGGGGUAGUAAUAAACUCUUACUGCUUUGUAAGUGCAGCCUUCAGCACAGACCCUGGCCAAAAGCGUCUGAUUCUUAUCAGAGGCUGAAGGACAGGUUUUGCUGGAGUUUCUAUGCCCAAACUUGAAAAGCAAGUUCAUCUGCCCCUUUGCUCUGCAAACAUGGGGUUCCAUCUUAUUCUUGAGAAAAGGCCAAACACUCCGCCUCCAUAAUGACUCUAGAGAUCACUGUGUGGCCUAGUGACCACUGGCUGCUGGUCACUGGAGCAAGGCUGACCAACUGUGACACUUUGCCUGGGACUGAGAGGUCUCCUGGGACUUGGGAUGUUCAAUGCUAAAACCGGGGAAGUCCCAAGCAAUCCGGGAUGAGUUGAUCACUUUAACCAGAACUGAUCCUUGUCCUCUUAGACCAGCUCCUCAGCAUCCACACGAUGUACAACUCAGCCAAAAUCCAUGGUGGAAGGACAAAGAAAGAGCUGGAUCUGGAACAACCGAGGCCCCGCUGUUCUUUGCCUUGUUUAGGACUCUCACUGUGUUCAGAACCCUCGUAGACAUAGGGUAGUCUUCGUCCUCCUAGACUUGGCAAGGGAAGGAGAGAGGAGGAACAGGGAUUGUCAUCCCCACAUGCCUGGACAGUAUUCUAAGUCCCUUCCAAAAUGGAAUGUUGAUAGUUAUUUGUAGGUUGAGAAAUGUAUGACUAGUACAGAAUUGGGCCAGGGACCUGGAACAUCGAAACCUUCCUUCCAUCAUCCACUCCUUCCUGUAAGGUCGUGAGGGAAUCUAUACUCGCUGAGGACAAAGUCAGGCAAAGGGACAGUUUUUCUAGCUGGUGCUUUGGCCCCAAGCCCUAUCGUCAAACUCCAGUGACCUGGCCUGGGUCACUGAAAGGGCUCGCUCUGGCUGACUCAGAACCAAAGCACAAAUCCGAACCUCAGGUCAAACCACUCCAACGGGAGGAACAGCCAAGCCAGGAAAGCCACCAGUGAGCAGGGCUGAAGAAAAAGGAUGAGACACACGCGCAAGAGAGUAUUCAGCCCAAUGACCAAAGCCAGGUGCGUCUCCUGGCCAGGGCGUCGGGGAAUACCCGUUAAGCCAGACAUCACAGACCCCUCCCAGCCCACAACCCUCUGGAAGCACUGGCAUCCAAAAAGAGAGAGUGCCUGGGUCUUUAUUAUGCUUUACUGUGCUUUAUUUUCCUGGAAACCUUACAGGCACAGUAUCUAAACAGACUAUGCAUGUGCUUUGGGACCUUUACCUAUUUGAAAAGCUCUAUGUCUGUAGCCCAUUAAAAUGUCCUGAUUUGACCAAUUCAUUGGAGCUUGCAUCCUUUUGGGGGAUGCGAGUCUCCUCUGCCUUGGAAGCCACUAUUGUGUAAGUAGCCACAGGCCUGGUAGUCAAGAGACCUGAGCUUUAGUAUUUUUAAAGAUAUCUGUGAUUGACUUGAGGCAAAACAUUUAACUUCUCAGUUUCCUCACCUGUAAAAUUGAUUGGACUAAACAUUUGGGCCUAAGAUUUCUUCCAGCUUUAUGAUUCAUCUCUCUCUCUCUUACACACACACACACUCUUAUUCUGUUUUAUUUCUGGAUAUUAACUCUGAAUGCCAUGCUGAGCCAUAUUAGAGGCUGAGGCAAAAGGAAAAAAUCAGUAAUACUGGUCCUCUUUUAUUUAAAAUAUGGAUAUUUUGUUCAUCAUGAAUUUGUUGCAUUAAUUUGGAUUUUUAAAAUAGUGCAUUAAAAUAUUAAUCUUGAUUGCUGAAUUUUUGGUGGCCCCUUAAAUUGUGUGCCCAAAGCAAGUGUCUCAUUUCAUGCUGGUCCCAGCCCUGUUAGCACCUCUCUACAUCUGGGUGAGCUGCAAGAUGAACGAAGAAGGGACUGCCACAGACAGGCAGAGAGAAGAGACUAAAUGCCACCCACUUUACAAAGUUACCUAGAGCCAGCCAUAGUGGUUUGAUGGACGGAUGGAUAAUUUUAUUAUCUGUCACCACCUAUAAUUUCUAGUUGUUUUUAUUGUGUUUGUUUUGUUUCCCCAGACUCAUAAUUUUGAGUCUGGGGACCCUCUGGGGUUUUUUUGUUGUUGUUUUUUUAAUCUCAGCCUCCACACAACAAAUGCCCAGUGCAGAGUUAAGCACUGAAUUGUUAGAACGAAACGGUAGGACACACACCAGAUUCUAGAUUUCACACUCACCCUUCUCUUGACCUUGCAGAAGACACUACUUAUCAUUAAAAUAACUUUUUAAAGUUCAGACAAUAAAAACACAGCUGGGAAACCAGCAAAGUGAAACAGUUGUUUUGGCACAGUGUUACCGGAUGAUGAAAAGGAAAUUUGGGUUUCAUUCCUCGCUUUUGCCUUUCAGAGUCAAAAGGAGCAGAGGCAGGUAAGACUUAGACAAAUAAGCCUCAUAAGACCAAGAGGAUUCGAGAACCUCUGCACUCUGAGGAGGGUCACCAUUCCUUGACCUAACAAACCAAGGGCUGCUGGUUACCCCCAGGCUUGUUGCAGGAUCUGAAGGAGCAUGUCUUCAAAUCGCACUAACCUGGGCUCAGGAGGGAGAGCAAAGGACGGAGUACUGAAAUAACUUAUCUGUGAAAUGUCUCCAUUAGAGGACUUUUCAAAGGAAUUUUCCUUCCUUCAAUUAGAUACAUUAAUAAAGACUAAUAGCUAUAAAAAUGGAUUCAUGCUGAAGGCCUGGCAAGCCUUUCUCAAGUCAAUGGGCGAUCACUGGUGUUCAGGUGCCAUAGUGAGGGAAGGCACUAGACUGCAUUCUCUUUUUAUUUGGCCACUAACUGGCUGUGUGCUCUGGAGCAAAUCACUUACACUCUCUCUGCUUCAUUGUCUUCAUUUGUAGAAGAGGGUGUGGGACUAGACGGCCGCUAAGAACCCUUCUACCUCUGACAUGACACAGGAUGGGCGCUAGUCAAGGCCUGGGGCAAAGUUUGUUUGUUAAACAUUCUCUCCUGCUGUCUUUCUGCCAGGUGGCCUUUUUUCAUAGAGAGUGUCAACUUCUUAAUUAGUAGGUUUCAAAACAUGAAGAAGACAAAGCUUUACUGUACAUUUGGGAAGAAUGAAAGUUUACCUUUUAGAGCAAAGAAAUAGAGCUUGCUUAGGAGUCUAACUGAAGGAAGUCGCACCUCCACAAAAGUGAAAUGGAAGCAAGGUCGUGAAAAUCUGGGACUCUGCAAGCAAAGAACAAGUACUGUGUUGGUAUUUUAAAAAAGAUUUUCCUUCCAUUUGCAACACCUUUGUGCUUCUUUUGUGGAUUUCUCCAUCUUUUUCAGUUCUACACUGAGCUAUUUUAAGACUGUUUUCCUUCCAUACAGUAAUACUGUUCAGAUAGGCAAUUUAAUUGUCAUCACACUUUUCCUUAGUCUUUCAAGACCUUUCAUUAUGGUGAAAUAAUUUUAGGCACACCAAGGACAAAUCCAUUAAAUACUUUCCUUAUUUCACUAAUGAACUAUUGUGGGUGGUAAAAAUUAAUUUCAUUCCACCCAUGAUACAUAUCUGUUCAAUUUUUAUCCUUGAGAAGUGAAGAUAGCAAAUAACUGAAGUCAAAUGAGAGUCUCCUCUUAUAAUGUUAAGUCUGUUGUUUCAUUUAUACCAAGAUGUAUCCGAAGGAAAAUCUAUAAAAAUAUGUCACAAAAUGAAAAGGGUUCAAUAGGUCCAAUCUCAGGGUUGAUGUUGCAAAUGUUUUUACAGGCUGGAUAUGCUUAGGAACUGGAAGGCCCCCGUGUUAAUGGAUUGGAAGACUCUUCUGAGCAGAUGUGUUUAAGCUCAUCCCAAUGGGCAGAUCAGACAUUAGCACACUUGCUUAAAGCACAGUCCUGAUGAUACCAAGGCCCUGGAUUGAAUGGCCAUAUAGCUCAGCCAGUAUUGCUCAAUUCCAGAGCUCAGGCUGUAGCCCUCACACUUCUCUGCCAUUUCACAUUUUGCACACCCCAUGGAAGGUCACAAAUGAGAAGGGUAGAGGAUGUGGAUGGAGUCAGGCAAACUAUGCCCCACAGCAUGGAAAGGAACUCCAUAAGCUCUACUAACUGAGAGCCAGGGAAGGCACUUUGACAUGCGAGGGACAACGCAUUAUAGCAAUGACAGGUCAGACCCAUCAACUCUGGUUGGAAGGUGUGUAGAAAAGGAAAACAGAAAUUAUCCACAUCACACUGCUGACAAUUAUGAUCCCAUUGCUAGGGGGUAUGGGGGAUGUGGCUUCAGAGAAAAAGGGCAAAAGCCAGAGUUCUCUUUAGGCAGACAGUACAAGGGUCACAAGCAAGAAAGGUCCAAGUCCUGUCCCUGAAGAUGAGUAUUUCCAGAACUACCAAGGACCCUGACAAAUGGGAAAUUGGGAUUGACUAGUAAGAGCUUCCUUAUUUACAAUCAGUCCCUUCCAGAGCCAGCUCUGAUUUACUUAAAUUACUGUCAGCGCCUUAGGUAGGAGGAGCGGCAUGCUGGUUUCUCUUUAGUCAGAUUUAAUUCCAGUUUCUGCCUUUAAAUGUGUGCAGACUGCUCUAGAGGGUUUCAUGAGCCUGGUGCUCUAAUCCUGCUGCCCUCUCUCCUUUAUCUCUUAUUCUUGAGUUUCCAUUUCUCUCCUCCUUUCUUUCUACACCCCAAAUGAUAGAUGAGAGGACACAAUAAUCAAUGACAGCAAAAAAGACGACAGUCUGAAAGAAGACCAACAAAAAUCCCCAAAUUCAUGUACUGUGGCCUGAAGUAAUUACUAAGGAGAGUCUGAUGGAGGUCGUUCUGAUGCUGAGUUUAGGGCUUAACAUGACCAGGAAGAUCAGCAACGACUUUAAAGGAAAAAUGGAGAACAGGAGAAUGACAAGGCAGUUAUUUUUUUCAGUCUGUAAAAAUAAGAUUUGAUUGUACUUCCAUACACACACACACACACAACCUGAUACUUUUAUUUUUUAUAUAUUAAGUGGCAGUGGGCCAUGAAAGACCGCAGAGAAUUAUAAGUGGAGUCUGCCUCAAAAAAACACAUCUCUCUCCUCAAGUGACAGUAAAUUGGAUAAAUGCUAUUUUUAGAUGAAAUAUAUCUAACUAAUGUCCAGAUGUGAUUCUACCACAUGAAGAGAAAAACAAAUCUAUCUAAAGCACUGAGCUGUACUUGAAAACAUUUUUUUUACAUUUCUGGUAUGAAUAAUUUACAGUGGAAAGACUUAGACAAGAGGUACUGACCAUCAGCCACUGCAGCAGUUCCCUUGGGAACAACAUCUGCACACAUGGUUUCAACAUGGAGAUCUUCCCAAGGUUUACAUUCCUGAUUUAAUUGUUACUAACGCUCUGGGUAUGCAACUUGUCAGCAGUAUAUUUCCACAUGAGCAUAAAGGAAUGAGGAGAGAGGAACAUGCAUAUCAGGAUUUCUGUGCUAAGCCAGUGGGGGUCCUCUAACGGCUGUCACCUUGAGAGGUCAUCUGCUUGUUCAAAUGCUGCUGCUUUUGCUCCAGACAUUCUUGGAAGUCCUCCUACUCAUUCAUUCAACAAAUAUUUAUUAAGCACCUACAAUUUUCCAAGCUGAGCAUAAAGUGAUGAGCAGAGCAAACAGCCCAGACCCCUGCUUAUAGUCUAACGGAAUUUCUUUUGGAGCCCAGAUUACAAGUUACAAAAGAAAAUCAAUCUUAUUAGUUUAGUGAUACAAAUAGUGGUGUCGUGUUUGAUCACAGUCUUCAUUAUUGUGCAUGACCCUAAAUAAUGUCUGGCCAUUUGAAAAGAAGUCAACCCCUGAGAUAUAGUCACUGAAGAUAUUCAAAAUAAUGUGAUACAGGCUUUAAGAGAAGAGUUACAAAUAAAUUAUUGGGCAAUGACAUCAUCACUGGAAGAAAGGCCUGGCCUUUCCAAGUGACUCAUUCUGCAGUCUAUGCUCCUACAAGGGAAUAAAGACAUCCUGCCCAGGGACAGCAGCAAGGUGGCAGGGAGGAAGCAGGCAUGGCAGAAAACUAGGUGGACCAAGCCCAAUCCAAGUGCAGACAGGUGAUCAAAUCCCUGGAUAGAGGAGGGAGUGAAGCUCUUAGUGGGGAAAGAGGCAUCAAAUGAGGGCAGUGUCAGAAGAAUUGAGCCCAGAUGGUUGGAGAACCUUGGCCAAGUGUGUAAGAAUCCAUCCAAAAAGUGGAUGAGAAAGCGCAGGAACUAGGUCUGCAGCCAGGGCACCAAAGCCCAGGAGAACAGAAAUAUCCAGGUUACCCAAAACAAUCUGGCUGUUAGGAGGUGGAGAGCUGAUGUGGCCUCAUCUAGGGCUAGAGAAGGAAGUGGCUGGGCAGCAUGGCUUCAUGGUGCCACGGAAGUAUCUGGCACUUCUACUGCUGGUAGGAGCAACCACAACUACUUAAAAACCUUCAAGACUGGUUGGCCCUUCCUUUGGCCCAAGAUGAUGAAGAAGCCUAAGGAUAACUAUGUACUCAUUAUGGACAGUCAAUAAGGGGUUGAGAUGGAACAGGGACUAAUGACUUCAUCUGACACGAUUUCUUAAAUAUCCAGUAGCCAUCUAAAGAUACAUAUAUUCAAAAAGGUCCUCUUUUCAUAAUUGACAAAUCAUAUGCACUGUUUCGCAGUUUGAGUGGGUUUUUCUUGAGCAUUCGAGAUGGAUUUGCAUGUAGCCCUAUCAACUCUCCCACUCCAAAUCUCUCACAAAUAGCCCACUCUGGAGAGAAGUUUAGCUGCAACCUACAGUGUGCCUUGUAGGCAUGAAAUAGAGCUGAUCCAACUGAUGAAGAUAUCAGUCCUGCAACAUCAGUUUCACUCACAUUAUACUCCACAACUAAACUAACCAGAUAGCCAGAGUUUGCUUACUUUCCCUUCUCAAGAGCCACCCCAUCGGGAUAAUCUUUUAAGCCUAGCAGAUCAGAAAUACACUUAUCCCAUGCUUGGCACUUUGGUUAAUGCUGUUCCCCUGUAAGGAUGCUACUGGAGUUUCUCUCUUGAUCUCCACCCCAAGGCCCUGCUUAGACCAGUGGUUUGAAAAUAUAUGUCUAUGGGAUGGCCUGGUGGGUGAGAACCAGGCUUCCUCAACUUUGAUAUUAUACUCUUUAUUUUUAAAAUCAGUUUUUCUAAACUGGUCUCCAUGCAAGAUUUUGUUUGGUAAAACAAAAAGAUUGGUGGAGGGCCUAUUAUAUAUUUAUUUCUUAAAAGAAGGAGGGGACUUCGAAUCACUGUUCUAGACCAAGGGUCAGUAGUCAUUUUAACUACAUGUGAGAUGAACAGGGCUAGACAAUGGGGUAAGAAAAUUUCUUCCAUGGCCUGUUAAGCCAAAGGCAUAGACAAGAAAGAAAAGAAAGUUGGAAAUACAAAAAAGGAAAAAGAAAGGAGAGGGACGUCAGAGAAAGAAAAAGAUCAGCUGCUGCAGUAAUGGUUUGGGGGCCAUUUUUCCCAGAAAAUGCACACAUACACAUAUUUACCUAAUACUUUGCAAACAAUCUAUAGGGCUCUGUGGUGUGAAGUCCUUCACCUAGGGACCCAGGUUGGAACACACCAUGGGAAGGCAUCAACCCACAGCACUGACCUUAGGUUACCCCAUCCAUGACAUAGGAUGCCUGCUGUGAAGGCAAAAAUCUGGAUUCUUGAUUUUUCUUUAAUAUUUCUCUGAUCAUUUUACCUAAUGCUCCUCAUAUGGAUGCUAUGAAUCACAUCCAAAGUUUUGAACAUGUGCUUUCAAAUAUUUUACUCAGGAUCCUCAUCUGAUUUAAUAACCUCUAUUGACUACUCUCCAAUCCAUAUCUUUGGAUCUCUAAUCAGAAGAAAUAAUGUAAUUGUCAGUUUCAAGUAAAGUCCACCUCUUGCCAAAUGUGUUCCAAUAGUUGUCAUUGACAGCUCCCCUUGGAAGCACAAACAACUGAGGUUUUUGCUGCAGACAUCCAAAAUUAUUUGGUUAUUUUAAUAGCAAUAGUCUCCUGGUAUCAUCCUUAAACCUGUCUUACUCCCUUAGGCCUUGAUAGCUGCUGACACUGAAACUUUUAAUUAGCCUUUUAGUUAGAACCUUAACACGAAGUAAUCCACCAAGUCCAUACCCUAUCAUGCUUGAUCAUUACCCAAAAUAAUCAUUGCCUUUCUGGCCAUCCAUCCUCUCUUGCACUAACAAAGGAAAGUUUAAUUCCAGCCUAGAAUUUUCCUUCUGAGUUCGAGCCUCACAUAUCCAAUGGCUUACUAAAUCACCACUUAGAUGUCCCAAAGACACCUUAAACUCAACAUUCCUAAAGCUGGACUCUUCUUUCAUCCAGAUCUACUCCUCUACUUAUCUACGUGCACUCACCACCAGACACACAGUGCUUAAGACAAAGAAAUUUUGACUUCUUCCUUCUUCUUGACUCUCACAUCCAAUAGGUGUGAAAGUCUUAAUGAUUUCCCCACCUUCAUAGCUAAGCACUUUAGUUCAGGUCUUCUUCAUCUUCCUUCCGGAUUACUGUAACAAUCUAAUUGGCCUUCCUAAUUCCACUUUUAGCCUCUCUCCCCCUAGUCUGUUGCCAAUGACCUUUCAAAAUUACAAAUCUGACCUUUUAACCAUUUCUACUUAAAAUCCAUCAAUAGAUGCCCCUUGCCUUCAAAAUACAAACCAAAGUCCUUAGCAUGGAAUUCAGUGUUCUCAUAAGCUGUCCUGUGUUGCCCUCCACUCCCCCAGGCAAGCACCAAAAGGUUGGGCCCAGUAAACCACGUGCUAUUCCUCUGAACUACGGCCUUCCCCUCUUGGCCAUCCUUCUUCCCUUACUUAACACCUACUCAUUCUUCAAAAAUAUAUGGAAUAUUAAUGCUGGCACUAUUUUGGUGCUGUACACAUAUAUUAUAAUUUUUAAUGACUGUAUAAGUAGAGUAGACCCCUACCCCUAGUCCAGCUCCUUAGAAGUAACAAAUGUUAACCUGCUUCUUGUGUAACCGUCCAGAAAUUUUUAUGACUGGAAAUAUAUGUGCAUAUAUGCUUUCCCCUAACAGAUGGGCUCCUAAUAUACAUACUUUUCUGCAAUUUGUUUUUUUCCUUAAGACUACAUCUUAGACAUUUUUUUACAUCAGUACAUGUAGAUCUGCAUAAUUUUUUUUGUAGAAAUAAAUCUAUGUAUACUAUAUUCACAUUUUCAUAUAAACGAAUAAAACUCACUGUUUAAAGGUUAGAAAGUCAUUCUGGGGGGGAAAAAGUCUAGCUAUAUGCCAUUUAUAAGAGAAACACCUAAAACAUGAUGCAGAAAGAUUAAAAGUCAAGGGAUUCAUUGAAUAAAAUAAGAAUACAUGAGUUCAUAUGUGUGUGUCUGUAAGUAAAUAAAUGGAGGGGAAGGGAAAUUCCUGCCUUACAGAAGAAAGCCAACAGAUAAACAUGAAAGGAAUGACGGAAGUAGAAAAUUGCCAUUUGGCAACCGUCAUAGUAAUAAUUGAUUCAAGCAAGAAUCAUUAAUUUUUACUAAAACUAGAGGGUAAAAACUUGAGUAAGAGCAUAUUUAUAAUUGUCUCAAAAUCUCUCCACAAGAGAUAAUGAUAUAAAUUACAAAGGGAAAAUUGGUAGUUUUCCAAUAAAGCUCCUUGACAGGCACUACCUUAACCAAAUAAUUUAAAUCUGCACCACAAUUAAUGGGACCUAUUGACAUCAUCUGAUAUGAUGCACUAAGAAGGAGACAGCAUUACUUCUGGAGUAUUUCUUUCAAAAUGCAUAGCCUGACUAUAAUCAUGAGGAAACAUCAGACAAGCCCAAAUCGAGAGAUAUUCUACGAAAUAAACGGCCAGAACUUUCAAAAAUGUCAAGUUCAUGAAAGGCAAUAAAAGCACUGAGGAAGUAUUUCAGAUUAAAGGUGACUAAAGAGAUGUGACAACAGAAUGCAACCUGUGAUUCGGGACUUUCUUUUGCUACAAAGGACAUUCUUGGGACAAAUCCCAAUGACCUUUCAAAAUUACAACUCUGAUCUUGUAACCACUUCUUAAAAUCCUUCUAUAGGUGCCCCUUGCCUUCAAAAUAUAAACCAAACUCCUUGGCAUGGAAUUCAACACUCUGCGUAAACUGUCCCAUCUGUAAAUACUUCAGUAUCUAUCUCUAAGCCAUAACUUCACACCAGACUGGAUAUGGGAAAAAUAGGAGACUCAAACCGAGCCUGUGUACCAGGCCCCAUCACCUGGAUGUCGGAACCAUCAGGGUGCCUUUACUCCAGAUGAGCUGUGUUCUGGAUCUCUGAGGAUGGCCCUCAAGUGGCGGCAUUUUUAACCCUCCCUCCGGGUGAUUAGUGUGUGCAGUUGGCCCCUGCCAACCUCUCCAUUCUCUUCUCCCCGCCUCCACCCUUGAGCUCUGUGCAAUAAUAAACUGUAAUUUUGAGAACCCAGCUUCUUUACCAGCUGCCCCUGGGGGUUUGCCCUGCUCCAGCCUCUCCUUGGGCUGGCACCUGGCUCCUCUGGGCUCCUCGAGUGCUCCGGCAUCUCCACACGGGAUGGAUGUUUUCCAUCUUACGUGUUUGUCGUCUUCAACAGACACAGCUUCUCAACCAAUGAACAGUGUGGAUUGCACUGAAUCAGGGAUUCUGCAGUCUGGGAGGAGGGGGGCAAGCUGCCCCGGGGGUGGGAAUUCAAGAGAGGCCUCCUGGAGGGAGUGGCUUUUGGGCAGGGCCAUCUAAGCAGGGUGGGAUGUGUGGAGACCUGUAAUUGGGCCUGUGCCUACGUGAUUAGAGUCCUCUGAAUGCCUGAGGUGUUUGAUUUCUCUUCUCCACCCCUUUCCCCACUUUAAUUAAAACGUGAUCUUCUGCAUCUUGAGGGUGGGUUAGAGCAUGGUCUUUAGAGUCUGAGAAUACUGGGCUUUGUAUCUGUGUGGUCUGGGGCAAGUCAAUGGACCUCACUGACCUCAGGUUCCUCAUCAGAACUGGGAAUAACGGCGCUUCAUAGAGUUGCAGUAAGUGUUAAAUGGAAUAGUCUAGAUAGAGGCAACAGGGAACCAAUGAAGGUGAGCAGUUGAACAGUGGUGCUGAGGCAGGCUUGGAGUAGGGACCAAGCUGGAAGACUCUUUGUUAGGACAUCUGUCAUAUCCCAAGUAGCAAAAACAUUACUUGAGUAGCCAGCCCAUGGCCAAGUGGUUAAGUUCACACACUCCACUUCAGUGGCCCAGGGUUUCGCCGCUUCAGAUCCUGGCUGCGGACAUAACAUCGCUCAUCAAGCCGUGCUUGAUGCACACAGCACACAGCACAUAGCGCAACCACAGGAACUACAACCAGAAUAUACAACAGUGUACUGGGGGGCUUCAAGGAGAAGAUGAAGAAAAAAAAAAAGAUUGGCAACAGAUGUGAGCUCAGGUGCCAAUCUUUAAAAAAAAAAAUUAUAUCUUCUUUCAAAUAGCAGCUUCCCUCAUGGCUACGAUGAAUAUUUAUUAAAACACAAAAACAAGGGGGGCUGGC